GUAGUUAAAACUUAGGUCUAGCUAGCAGGUCCGCCUUACCGCGUGUACUUGUCUAGCUGGGCCUUCCUUCUAGAGAACCUUAUGCCCUUUACUAGGCGUGUUACGGACUAAGACUUUUACUUUAAAAAAAAUUAGAGUGUUUAAAGCAGGCCUUUGCUGAAAUACGUUUGCCAUAGAAAAAUAGAAAUGAACGAGGAGUCAGUUUUAUUAAAUAUUAGGAAAAAUUAAAUAAUUAAUAAGAGACACAUGAGGGGGCACUCAUAACUUA
RNAcentral lists this ribosomal RNA (268 nucleotides) under Plenodomus lingam JN3. RNAcentral's name for it is "eukaryotic small subunit ribosomal RNA". Lineage: Eukaryota; Fungi; Ascomycota; Dothideomycetes; Pleosporales; Leptosphaeriaceae. The record is from RNAcentral.